AAUAGCUUUCGCUUCGCUUGCACUAUUGUUCCUUCUGUGUAUCCUGAUAGUUUGCACGUGGAUUGGAUGCGAGAAGGUAUGUGAAAAGCUUUCAUGGCUUCGAAGUCACCGUGGAAAUACUCCUGGAACUGCAGGUUUUGGGACCUCAACUACUGUGAGUGAAUAAGUCCAAAAAGAAAUGACAAGAGGAUAGAAACUUCCAGCAGUCUGACUUCCUAAGCUAUCUACACAGUACUUGUAUUGUCGAAAGGGCAGAAGGCAAGAUCACAGAUCAUUCAAUGUUAGGUCACUGCCAAACUUUGUCUCGUCAAUGCACUUUGCCUCCUACCAUAAUGAACAUCAUCUUUUUUCCACUUGGAUUCUGUAUUUGAUCAAUUGACACGAAACAUGAAAGAUAAUAACCUUCCAAUGAUGGCUGAAUUGUACUG
This is a long non-coding RNA of Hemiscyllium ocellatum (epaulette shark), 428 nucleotides long. RefSeq lists it as uncharacterized. NCBI's taxonomy places the organism in Eukaryota, Metazoa, Chordata, Chondrichthyes, Orectolobiformes, Hemiscylliidae. The record is from RefSeq and is a predicted model, not a curated record. The transcript is spliced from 3 exons.